RNAcentral lists this ribosomal RNA (501 nucleotides) under uncultured bacterium. Its description in RNAcentral is "bacterial SSU rRNA". It matches the Rfam family "Bacterial small subunit ribosomal RNA", at positions 18 to 518 of the family's 1533-position model. The record is from RNAcentral.
CUGGCGUCAGGAUGAACGCUGGCGGCGUGCCUAACACAUAGCAAGUCGAACGGACCUAUUACGACAGAGACUUCGGUCGACGAAGUUUAAGGUUAGUGGCGGACGGGUGAGUAACGCGUGGAGAACCUGCCCUGUACUGGGGGAGUAACAGUGAGAAAUUACUGCUAAUACCGCAUAAGCGCACGGGACCGCAUGGUCCUGAGUGAAAAACUCCGGUGGUACAGGAUGGCUCCGCGUUGGAUUAGCCAGUUGGCGGGUAACGGCCCACCAAAGCGACGAUCCAUAGCCGGCCUGAGAGGGUGAACGGCCACAUUGGGACUGAGACACGGCCCAGACUCCUACGGGAGGCAGCAGUGGGGAAUAUUGCACAAUGGGGGGAACCCUGAUGCCAGCGACGCCGCGUGAAGGAAGAAGUAUCUCGGUAUGUAAACUUCUAUCAGCAGGGAAGAAAAUGACGGUACCUGACUAAGAAGCCCCGGCUAACUACGUGCCAGCAGCAGC